UACGUAGGGGGCAAGCGUUAUCCGGGUUUACUGGGUGUAAAGGGAGCGUAGACGGCAGCGCAAGUCUGGAGUGAAAUGCCGGGGCUCAACCCCGGAACUGCUUUGGAAACUGUGCAGCUAGAGUGCGGGAGAGGUAAGCGGAAUUCCUAGUGUAGCGGUGAUAUGCGUAGAUAUUAGGAGGAACACCAGUGGCGAAGGCGGCUUACUGGACCGUAACUGACGUUGAGGCUCGAAAGCGUGGGGAGCAAACAGG
Molecule: ribosomal RNA, 253 nt
Filed under: uncultured bacterium
Lineage: Bacteria
Description: partial 16S ribosomal RNA
Rfam family: Bacterial small subunit ribosomal RNA
Source: RNAcentral